This is an RNA transcript of Raphanus sativus (radish), 2243 nucleotides long. It is a transcript of the gene named pentatricopeptide repeat-containing protein At4g32450, mitochondrial, with no coding region annotated. The transcript has 4 exons. The record is from RefSeq and is a predicted model, not a curated record. Lineage: Eukaryota; Viridiplantae; Streptophyta; Magnoliopsida; Brassicales; Brassicaceae.
CCGAAACCCUAAUCCCCAAUUUCUCUUCCAAUCACAAUAAUAUCUGAGAAAAUUGAAAGAGAUAAAAAAAUUCGAAAAAUUUCCGGCCAUCAAAGUCUUCCUCCAGACAUUCCAGAAGUUGAUCAUCAUGAGAUUCAGAAAAGGAAGCAGAGUAGAGGUGUUUAGCAACAAAGAGGCACCAUACGGUGCGUGGCGAUGUGCUGAGAUCAUCUCUGGUAAUGGACACACCUACAACGUCAGAUACUUCUCUUUCCACGAGGAGGCUGUCUUGGAGAGAGCUCCGAGGAAGGUGAUCAGGCCGUGUCCUCCGCAGGUCGAUGUCGAGCGAUGGGAGGCUGGUGAAUUGGUGGAAGUUCUCGAUAGCUUCUCGUGGAAAGCUGCCACGGUUCGACAGGAGUUGUGUGGGAAGUACUAUGUGGUUCGGUUGCUCGGGACUCCGUCGGAGUUUACGUUUCACAAAGCUAACAUCAGGGUCCGACAGUCUUGGCAAGAUGAGAGAUGGGUUGCGAUUGGAAAGAUAUCAGGUUCUGUGAAGUCAUCCGCACUGACUGUAUCAGACGUACAACGGAAGAAGCAGCCCCAAGUGAAAAACAUACGUCUACAGGAACCUAGUGUUGUCUCUGCUAGAAUGUUAAAGAGGCCGUCACCUAACAACUGGCCUGAGUGUGCUGAAUCAUGCACAGGAAACCCUAAGAAGAUACGAUCACUGGAAACUUCCUCUAAGAAUCGCGAAACUGGUUGCUGUCAGUUGGUCAGGGUAAGAUCAAAAGGUUCUGACGAGAGUGUUCGUGCAGGAAGCUUAGUCGCUGACGAUUGUUAUGAUAGCGAUGCAUGCUCAGUUGGUAGUUGUAGCGCUGCUAGUGAUGAUGAGAGUAACAUGCCACCUUGUAUGAUGCUAGAUGGCUCUAGUCAACAGGCAGAUUCAUGUAGCAGCGAGGCUGAAUCUUUCUGUGGCCUUAGAGAAGACGCAAGGCGGAAACGUUCGGUAGCAGGUGAUGGAGGGAGAAGGUCAUGUAGGUCUGAACUAUAUACUUACCGCAGUACAUUGGGGGACUUAUUCGCUUCUGGUCCCUUAAGUUGGGAACAAGAAACGUCAUUAACUGAUCUCCGUCUUUCUCUUAAUAUAUCAGAUGAUGAACAUUUGAUGGAGGUAAAAAAUUUGAUAUCUGCUGGUACCCGCAGUCAAUUUUGCUAGUAUCAAUCAGAAUUAAUUCUUUUUAUCUUUUUGUCCUGGCCAUAUUUCCCUGCAACGUGGAAUCAUUCAACUGUCAUAUAUUGUUCCUUUCCCAGUGGAUUUGAUAUUGAGUGUAUAGUCACAGCAGAAUAUAUAAGAACAUUGUCGCCUUGUCCGAGGCAUGGCAGACCUUUGGCUUUUAGAGGUUUAACUCUGAUGCUGGGGUUUACGACUUCUCCCUUUGGCCAUAUGAGUGGUGCAAUACCAUUCCUGUUCUUCAAAAAGUAACUGGCUUUUAUGCUAUUUUUCAUUUUGUCACUAUCUUGAUUAUUUCAGGUGUCCUGGAGUUGGCUUUGUCCACAGGGCUGCUUUGAGCAGGUUUCCUUAUAUGUUUACUGUCUGUUGGAUUAAAUUUGCUGAUAAUAUGUCAAGCCUUAGCCCUUUCUAGUUCACUAAUUAUAUCUUACGGUGCCUUCUUUUUUGGUAUUUAUUCUGUUCUGAUUGCUUCAUUAGAACUGCAUGAUGUAGAUGCUACCAUGUCGAAGUAUCAAUAGGCAUAGUCCAUUCUUUUUGGAAAUAAGCGUUUUGGAUUGUUGAGAGGUAAGUGUGAAAUGGCUUUGAAAAGGGUUAAUGGUCAUCUAGACGAUGUGUAGAUUCUUUAUUCUGAUUUGUUCUCAUGACUUUGCUUUCAUGGAACUGGUGCUAACAUUCUUACUCAGUUAGUCGCAUAUGCGUUGUGGAAAUUCUCCAAGCUCACUCUCCAGAUAUCUCCAGCAAAUCUAGUUGUUUAAAAUGUUGCUUCCUUUCAUGUGAUGAUGUCACUGUUAUUAUGCCGUGUGUUCUUUUUUUUGGUAUGGUUUAGUUACUUCCAAGUGGAGAUAUUAGCAUCAACAUGAGGCAGUAAAAGUACUUGCAAGUUCAUAUUUUAUAUAAACACAAUCCCCUCCACUCACUGGAUAAUAGAAUUGUGUUAUGUUUGUAAUUGACCCAGUAAACUGUAUGAAUGUUUGUAGUGAAGAUUAAUAUUAUCAUGUUGGGAUGAAAAAGCUAAUUCAAUAUUUACAAACUU